RNAcentral lists this ribosomal RNA (495 nucleotides) under uncultured bacterium. RNAcentral's name for it is "partial 16S ribosomal RNA". It matches the Rfam family "Bacterial small subunit ribosomal RNA", at positions 28 to 507 of the family's 1533-position model. The record is from RNAcentral.
GACGAACGCUGGCGGCGUGCCUAAUACAUGCAAGUCGAACGCUGAAGGAGGAGCUUGCUUCUCUGGAUGAGUUGCGAACGGGUGAGUAACGCGUAGGUAACCUGCCUGGUAGCGGGGGAUAACUAUUGGAAACGAUAGCUAAUACCGCAUAAGAGUAGAUGUAGCAUGACAUUUGCUUAAAAGGUGCAAUUGCAUCACUACCAGAUGGACCUGCGUUGUAUUAGCUAGUUGGUGGGGUAACGGCUUACCAAGGCGACGAUACAUAGCCGACCUGAGAGGGUGAUCGGCCACACUGGGACUGAGACACGGCCCAGACUCCUACGGGAGGCAGCAGUAGGGAAUCUUCGGCAAUGGACGGAAGUCUGACCGAGCAACGCCGCGUGAGUGAAGAAGGUUUUCGGAUCGUAAAGCUCUGUUGUAAGAGAAGAACGAGUGUGAGAGUGGAAAGUUCACACUGUGACGGUAUCUUACCAGAAAGGGACGGCUAACUACGUG